RNAcentral lists this long non-coding RNA (1212 nucleotides) under Bos grunniens (domestic yak). RNAcentral describes it as "lncRNA (ENSBGRG00000005348.1)". The record is from RNAcentral. Lineage: Eukaryota; Metazoa; Chordata; Mammalia; Artiodactyla; Bovidae.
UUUCAAAGUGUCUGCUCAUGAUGUAGCUGCAUUAUAGUGAUGGAAAGUUUAUUAUUGAUCUAUUCACCUAAGUGCUUGGAAUUUCAUGCUUGUGUGAGGACAUAGCAUGGGCACUGGGCCCAUAUGGACAAAGAUGGAACUGAGAACACUGCAUAAAAGUUACAACACUUAAAGGAUUAUACCCUAUGUGAAAAGGCAGUCUAAGUAAAAAUCUAUCCAUCAGUACAGGGAGAUGUCAAGGAAAUUAAAACUGUAUAUAGAUGGGUUAAAUAGCAAUUUGAUACAGCAAAGGAGUUCAUAAACUGGAAAACAGAUUUGAGGAAUUUAUCAAAAAGGCACAAAGACAUAAAGGUCUGGAAAACAUGAAAGAUUAAGAAGAUGGAAGAGGGAAUGAGGAAGUCUAAUAUAUAUUUAAUUCCAAAAGUAGAAAAUAGGAUACUUUAAAAAAAUUUUUUAAGAUAAUGGCUGAACUUUUACAUAAAUGACUAAAGAACUUGAAUCCUGAAGUUCAAUAAUAAUAAGUUCUGAGGAGAAUAAGUUAAACUAAUUCCAAAGUUAGCCACAACAUAAUAAAACUUCAGCAAUUCAAAGACAAAUAAGAGAUCUCUAAAAGCUAUGCAAAAAUAAUCAUAAACAUAGAAUUCAAUGCCCAGCUAAACUUUCAUUAAAAAGUGAAGGUGAAAUAAAUAUUCUUUUUAAAGACCAAGAAAGUUUACUGCUCACAGAUAAUGAUGAAAUUAGCACCUCCAUAACUGACCAAACUUUAUGCUAUGAUUUCUAAAAGUUAAAAACUGAACUGACAAAAAUAUUCUAAUAUUCUACUCACUUGAACAACUAUCACGACCCCUUUACAGAUCUUCAAUGCCAUAUUCCUCUAUUUCUUCAUAACAAAGAAGCCCCUCUUUUUUUUCUUUUGUCCUCAACCAGGGAUCAAACCCUCACCCUUCCAGUGGAAGCACAAAGUCUUAACCACUGAACCACCAGAGCAGUUUCUGAACCUCCUUCUUUUAAAAGGUGUCCUCCCUGGAUCAGCAGGUGAAGGCUUCUUGGAACAUCUCCUUCUCUUAUAGAAUGGGAUGACAGGAAGAGAUGCUCAUGAGAAGAGAAACAGGAAGAGGAGAAUGGGGAGGAGAUUUGGUCAUACUGAAGGGAUAUCGGAGGCAUGCUAAACAAAGAGGAAUGUGCUGCUAUAUUCAAAAUGGGUAACCAACU